This 365-nucleotide ribosomal RNA is filed under the name uncultured bacterium. RNAcentral's name for it is "bacterial SSU rRNA". It matches the Rfam family "Bacterial small subunit ribosomal RNA", at positions 8 to 353 of the family's 1533-position model. The record is from RNAcentral.
AGAGUUUGAUCAUGGCUCAGGACGAACGCUGGCGGCGUGCUUAACACAUGCAAGUCGAACGGAGUUUAUAGGCGGAAGCCUUCGGGUGGAAAGGCUGUAAACUGAGUGGCGGACGGGUGAGUAACGCGUGAGCAAUUUGCCCUUUUGGAGGGAAUAACAGCCGGAAACGGUUGCUAAUACCGCAUAAGACACGUUGGAGGCAUCUCCGGGGUGUGAAAGGAGAAAUCCGCCAAAGGAUGAGCUCGCGUCCCAUUAGGUAGUUGGUGAGGUAACGGCUCACCAAGCCGACGAUGGGUAGCCGGACUGAGAGGUUGGCCGGCCACACUGGAACUGAGACACGGUCCAGACUCCUACGGGAGGCAGCA